RNAcentral lists this ribosomal RNA (250 nucleotides) under uncultured bacterium. Its description in RNAcentral is "partial 16S ribosomal RNA". It matches the Rfam family "Bacterial small subunit ribosomal RNA", at positions 524 to 765 of the family's 1533-position model. The record is from RNAcentral.
UACGGGGGGGGCAAGCGUUGUUCGGAAUUACUGGGCGUAAAGAGCGUGUAGGCGGCCAGGUAGGUCUGCUGUGAAAACUCGAGGCUCAACCUCGAGACGUCGGCGGAAACCAUCUGGCUAGGAGUCCGGAAGAGGAGACUGGAAUUCCUGGUGUGAGCGGUGAAAUGACGCAGAUAGUCAGGAGGAACACCGGUGGCGAAGGCGGGUCUCUGGGGCGAGUGAACUGACGCUGGAGGAGCGAAAGCGUGGG